AUGCACAUUGAUGUGAUAAUUGAGGAAGAUGAUGGUUACAAGUGGAGACUCACGGGCAUCUAUGGCGAGCCACGAACUGAACACAGAGAGGAGACAUGGUGUUUGCUCCGGACUCUUCACCAACAAGAAAGGUUCCCAUGGGUGUGCAUGGGAGACUUCAAUGAAAUCCUCUACAAUUUUGAGAAGCAGGGUGGAGUGCCUCGUGCACAAAUUCUGAUGGACAGAUUUCGUGAUGCUUUAAACUUUUGUAAUUUGAAUGACCUCGGUUUUGAGGGUGAUGUUUUUACUUGGCGUAAUAAUAAC
This 303-nucleotide ribosomal RNA is filed under the name Triticum aestivum (bread wheat). RNAcentral's name for it is "partial small subunit ribosomal RNA". The record is from RNAcentral. Lineage: Eukaryota; Viridiplantae; Streptophyta; Magnoliopsida; Poales; Poaceae.